RNAcentral lists this microRNA precursor (98 nucleotides) under Pelobates cultripes (western spadefoot toad). Lineage: Eukaryota; Metazoa; Chordata; Amphibia; Anura; Pelobatidae. The record is from RNAcentral.
UGUUUCAUUUUGACACUGCAUGUUUUUGAUAUGUGUUUUUUAUCAAAUUAAUGUGAUAAAAAACACAUAUCAAAAAAAUGCAGUGUCAAAAUGAAAUG